ACGAACGCUGGCGGCAGGCCUAACCCCUGCAAGUCGCGCGAGGACUUCGGUUCUAGCGGCGGACGGGUGAGUAACGCGUGGGAAUGUGCCCUUCUCUACGGAAUAGCCCUGGGAAACUGGGAGUAAUACCGUAUACGCCCUAUUGGGGAAAGAUUUAUCGGAGAAGGAUCAGCCCGCGUUGGAUUAGGUAGUUGGUGGGGUAAUGGCCUACCAAGCCGACGAUCCAUAGCUGGUUUGAGAGGAUGAUCAGCCACACUGGGACUGAGACACGGCCCAGACUCCUACGGGAGGCAGCAGUGGGGAAUCUUAGACAAUGGGGGCAACCCUGAUCUAGCCAUGCCGCGUGAGUGAUGAAGGCCUUAGGGUUGUAAAGCUCUUUCAGCUGGGAAGAUAAUGACGGUACCAGCAGAAGAAGCCCCGGCUAACUCCGUG
RNAcentral lists this ribosomal RNA (432 nucleotides) under uncultured bacterium. RNAcentral describes it as "partial 16S ribosomal RNA". It matches the Rfam family "Bacterial small subunit ribosomal RNA", at positions 29 to 507 of the family's 1533-position model. The record is from RNAcentral.